GAAGGCGGGGACACAGCUUGAAAGAGCUGCUAAUACCGCAUGUGUCUAUUGAAUGGCAUCAUUUAAUAAACAAAGCCGCAAGGCACUUCAGGAUGGGCCCGCGGCCUAUCAGCUAGUUGGUGAGGUAAUGGCUCACCAAGGCUUCGACGGGUAGCUGGUCUGAGAGGACGAUCAGCCGGAUUGGGACUGAGAUACGGCCCAG
Molecule: ribosomal RNA, 202 nt
Filed under: uncultured bacterium
Lineage: Bacteria
Description: partial 16S ribosomal RNA
Rfam family: Bacterial small subunit ribosomal RNA
Source: RNAcentral